AAAGCCAUUGCUAAAUCAUUCCCUCGGGUGGAAUGCAUUGUGUUUGAUCUACCACAUGUUGUUUCUGGCUUGAAAGGAAGUGAGAACCUUAAAUAUGUUGCAGGGGACAUGUUUGAGGCAAUUCCUCCAGCUGAUGCCAUUUUGUUAAAGGUAAAUCACUAUUCACAUUCAGAAUACAAUUUUACAUUCAUACCAUUAACACCCAGUUUUUAUACUUGAGUGAUGUCAAAUUUUAAAGAAUUAAAGCAAAUAAUUGAUCGAUUGGAAAAAAAAAUGAACGAUUUUAUGAUCAUUGAUCACUUGAAAUAACUUCAAAUAUAUAUAUGUAUAUUGUUCACUAAGCUAGUAAGCUAGCACCAGCUAGUAGUCCAACUACAUAUCUGCCACUAUCAUACCAAAUCAGACCAACUAAGUGGUCUAUAUGGCUUGUAAUAAUUAGUACUAGUUUACUAAGUGGGUACGUAAAGUAACUAGCAUAUGAUUAUUUGAAAAGUAAAUCUCUGCUCAUAUUCUAGAAAAAAUAGUUAUAGAUCUCUUCAAAUUUGACUUUUCUUUUUUCUGAAGUAUUGACUAUAUGUUGCGGUUAAAAACAUUACAUGAUGUGCCAAUUCAUUCUACCAAGCUUAAUAUGAAUGCAAGUCAAUAUUUUAUGAUUCUGAUCGGUGUGUUACUUUGAAUGACAAAGCAGUGGAUAUUGCAUGACUGGAAUGAUGAGGAGUGUGUGGACAUAUUGAAGAAAUGCAAAGAGGCCAUAACGAGGAAAGGCAAAGAAGGGAAGGUGAUCAUCAUAGACAUGGUGGUGGAGAAUGAGAAGAGAGAUGAUGAAUCAGUUGAAACACAGCUCUUCUUUGAUAUGCUGAUGAUGGUGUUGGUCACUGGAAAAGAGAGAAGCAAGAAAGAAUGGGCUAAGUUGAUUUCCUCUGCUGGUUAUAACAACUACAAGAUAACUCCAGUCUUGGGCUUAAGGUCUCUCAUUGAGAUCUAUCCAUAGUAAGUUAAUGAGAUGUGCCAGCACUCUAUCAUUCAUAUAUGUUAGGGCUAUAAUUUUUCUGUUUCGAUUCAUGAGUGAAUGUUGGAUAAGUAACAAUAGCAAUAGACUGAACUCUCUUCAUCAUAGUUGUGUUGUUGGAACAGUACUGUCAAGAAAGGAAAAAAAAAAAAUCUGAGGAUAAGUAUAGUUUGCGUGGUAUAUAUAGCAGGUGAAGAAAAAAAGGAACAUGUGGUUAAAGAGCACAGUGAGUUUGGCAAUUACUUUUUUUUUUGGUAACUGAAUUUGCCUUGUAUUAGAUUUGUGAAGAACUAAGUUUGUGAGAGUUGUUAUUGAAUAAGAUUGUUUCUAAAGGUUUGAUAAAGGUAUAAUGGUUUAUCUAAAUACAUUUCAAUAUUUUAGUAUUUUAAUUAAGUUCAUAAUGAUGUGAUUAUGUGUCAUGUCAAUAAAGAUAUAUCAUUAAUCUCAUCUUAAUAAUAGUGUCAUGCAAACAAUGAAAUUAAUGAGACUAAAAUAAAAUAAAAAGAAUUUUAUGGAGACAUAAAAUAGAUAAAAUAAAUAUUACAGAAACUAAAAAUGAAAAGAAAUUAUAAGAAUAAAAAAAAAAGAAUUUGCUUAUAUCUUCAAAGGUCACUUUAAGUUGUUUAUAUUUUUUAUUUUAAAUAUUGGGUUGCACCAAAGAAAUGAUCAUUAUAUUCAUGUUAAGAAUAAAUAAAGCAAAACAUAAUGACCAAAAAAUAUAGCAAAUUAAAUCCUAUAAUUUUUCUUUUGGAUGAAGUAUGAAUAUAAAAAGUAAGAGACAACAAAGUUUAAGACAUCACGAAAGAAUUUUUCAUAAAUUUCUCUAUAAUGACUUUAGGAUAAAAAUCUCAUCUUUGACUUCAAAACACUUGAACACAUAUCCUAAUUAGCUAAAGUAUCAAUCACAUGAUUAGAAUCAUGUGACAUAAUUGCAACUAACAAAGUUCAAAUGUUUCUUACUAAUGCUAUUAAAUAAAAUAAGAUUAAUUGAAAUUUAUUUGUAUUUGAAGUCAAGACUGUUAACUCGUUGACAAGUGUACCAAAUUUGUCACAAGUAAUAAAGUACUCGGAAGUCCGAGUGUCGAAUCCACUGGGAUUUUGUGUUGUACUUAUCUUGGAUACUUUUCAAUUUAUAAGGAAUUAAAAGAAAAAGUAGAAGGCAAUAAUAGUAAAUUAUAAAUAGAAAGCAAAAGAAUUAAAAGCAAAAUAAUUAAAGAGAGAAUUCAAUGGAAUGCGAAUGUUAGGACCUAGCAUGCCUUGUUUGCCUAGGAUGUAUGAAUUUAUGAUUUUUCUUCACCAAUUUAGGUGAUUCUAUUCUACCCACAUCUGUUCAUUUACUUGCCCCUGAUUCCUCACGAUGACAAGUCUAUUUUAUUCAUUUAUCUCCCAAAUUCCUUUGUAAAAACUCAACAAAUAAAAUGCAUGAAGUAUGAAUUCUAGAUGUUUGCAAGAAUGCAUGGGCAUAAAAUUAUCAUUCUAUUCCUAGCAAUGACUUUCUUAUGAAAUCCUUUCUUUUUGUUCUAUUAGAAGUUACCUUCUUCCGAGUGUCUAACCCCUAAAACUAAUGCAUGCAUACCUUCUUUAAAUCUUGUUUAGAAGUUACCAUCUCCCGAGUGUCUAACCCCUAAAAGAAUAUAAAGAUGAAUAAUGCAAGAUAAAAACAGAAAAGAUAAUAGAAUAGAAAAACCUGGAAAAUAAUCCUGUUGCAUUGAUAAAUAUGAAGUACAUCAUACAUUUCUUUGACUUUUUAGGCCUACCAGGCCCUAACUAGGAGUUUAGUCACUCAUGGCCAUUGAGGGCUUUACAAUGAGAAGGGGGUGAAAAAAAGAUGAUAAAAAAAAGGAAGAGAGUAAAAAUUCUCAGGCUUUGAGUAGUAGUGAGAGUGCUCUCUGAGACUUGGUGUUUUCCUCCUUGGCCUGACUCUCUAUCUAUAGCUGAUGAAGUGGACUUGGGCUUGAUUCAAACAAUCUUCCUUAUCUAUCUUUUUUAUAUCUUUUGGAUCUUGUAAAUCUUAUCUUUCCUAUAUCUGCAAGUCAUAGAUAAGAAAAUAUCAAUUCAUAUCUUUUAAGUCAAAAUUAACUGCUAAAUAAAUAUCUUUAAAGAUAUUUUCAAAUUAGCUCAUAUUUAACAGUUAUCAAUAUCUUUUAGAUCUUGUAAUCUUAUCUUUUUAUAUCUGCAAGCCAUAAAUAAUAAAAGUAUCAAUUCUUAUCAUUUAAGCAAAAAAAUAACUGUUAAAUAAAUAUUUUCAAAGAUAUUUUCAAUAUAUUUUUAUUAUGAAAUAACUCAUAUUUAACAGUUAUCAAAGACACAGAUAUAUUUUUUUGCUUGCAUUCGAAAUCAAAGAAAGCAAGUACAUCUAAGCGCUUAAUGAAGAUGGUUGGAGGUAGACAGAGGUGAAUUCACAUAUAAGCUUGUUUCCCCAGUAUGAAUUUUUAUACUUGAAUAUAAUACUCCUAUUCAUGUGGGCAUAGAUGCAAAAGUUUGAGAUGAGGAAGGUCACAAGCUUGGAUAGGUUUGGAAGAUAAAUGGUUUGUGAGAAUAUAUAAAUGCUAAAUUAAAACAUAUUAUUGGAAGACAGUUGAAGGAUUGACGUCGGAGUAGUUAGUGCAGUGGAAAUAAAUGCCAUUAUUGGAGGACGGUUGAAAGAUUAGCGUAGGUGGGGCUAGUUAUUUCGGUGGGAAUAAAUGCUAAAUUAAAACAUAUUAUUGGUGGAAAUUUGGGAUGGAAAUGAGUCACGCCGCUUGUCAAGGGCCUUUUGCUCGACCUAUUUAAGACUUGGUUUGACUUGACUUGUUUAUUAUAAAGGUCAAACUUAAGCUUUUUAAAAAGCUAUUUUAGAUAAAAAUGACAAAGGCAAAUUAUAAAAAAUAAACUUGUUAAGCUUGACAAACCGGCUUGUUAAGCUUGACAAACUGGCUUAUUUAAGUAAUAAUAAUAAUAAUAACUAUUAUCUAUACCAUUUUUAUGGAAUUAUGAAUGACAGGCUGAAGCGACAUAAGGUGCUUAGAGAAUUCACUUGCAUGUGAAAAAUUUUCAAAAGAAAAGAUUCAAGUUAAAGGAUCAAGAAAUCAGAUGAAUACUUCAAAUGAAAAGAAUGUUUUGUAAAAUAUUGUCAGACAAUGUAAAUAGUUUUAUUUGACUAUAGUAAUAUAAAUCAUCGUUAAUCCAAUAUAUUGUUUAAUAUUAUGCUCUCUUUUUUUUCAUUUUCUUGUGAUAUACUUUGUGUUUUAACAACUUGAAUUUAAUAUGAUUUUGUUUAUCAAUUAUUUUUGGAUUUGUACAUUACUUAUAUGAAAUUUUAUAAGUUUUUUUUAGUUAAUAUUUCACUAGGUUUUAGAACAAUUAAUUGGUCAAAGACGUCUUUAAGCAGAUUUUUAAAUAGGCUCGUAGGUAAAAUCAGACUUCAAUGUGAGUCGAGCCGAGCCUUAAAAAAAAUUCUAUGAUAGGUAAUGAGACAAGCUCAAGUCUUGCUUAUUCAACUCAAGCCGAGCUCAAGCCUAAUAAAGCUUGAUUUGCCUUGACUCAUUUUCACUCCUAGUGAGAAUAGGGGUCAACUUCUAAUUUUACUAUAGGCACUUUAAUUAAUAGGGGUGGGUAAGCGGGUUGGCCCGCCCCGCGUAAGGCUAGUCCGCAUAAGCCCGCAUUGGCAGUGGAUCGGGUCAGCCCGCCCCGCAUUCUUACACUGACCAAAUAUAUUGGUCCGCCCCCGCCCCGCGAACCCCGCGAGUCAAACGGGCCAGUCCGUGGGCCUUGUUUUAAAAGAAUUUCAAUUUCAAUAAAAAUGCAACACAAUCAAAUUAAGUUCAAUACAAAUGUAAAUAAAAUCUUAACAAUUAGUCAAUUACAUCAAUAAAAUAAAUAAUGUCUUACAAAAGAAAAUCCAAGCAAUAAAUUUAAAAUAUGAAACUUAAACAUCUCUAACAACAAAUGAUUCUACAUUUAAAGUAAUAUAAUCCUAAUGCGGGCAAUUCGCAGACCCCGUGGGCCAAACUCGCAUAUUCUGCGGGUUAAGUGGGGCGGAUCCAAAAAUAUGACAUCAUCAUGGACCGUUUAAAAAAAUUGAUCCAUUAUCCGCGCGAACCACGGAACCCGGGGGCCAGUCGAUGGACCUGGGCCUGUUUACCCACCCUUAUUAAUUAGCAAGCUAUUAUAUUAUAUUGGUGGAUUAGGACAUCUAUAGUCCAAGGAAUAUAAAAUUUACCUGACUCUUUGUAACUAUGCAUGUGAUCUAUCUAAUGAAUUCCACCUCCUUUUUAUACAUCAUACACAUGCAAUGUUAAUCACUAUGAUAUAAAACAUUUAAAUUAUAUAUUAUUAUUACUAUGAUUUUUUUAAGAUAGAUAUAUUCAAAAUUAAAAAAAUUAUUAUAUUGGAUGGAUAAUGAUUUAAUAAUAUAGUAAAAUUAUUUUAUACUUGUUGGUGUAUAAUCAUUUUUUCUACAAAUAAAUAAAAAUAAUUAUAAUAUAAAACAUUAAUAUACCAUAAAAAUUAAAUAUUAAAAAAGAAAUGUAAAUAAUCAAUUAAAAUAUAUAAAAUUUAUAACAAUUUAUUCAUAUUUGAGAAAUUUUAAAAAUAUGUAUAUAAAUUAUUUUUCAAAUAAAUAUAUUAUUAAUAUACAUAAUUCAAACUAUGAAAAAUAUAUUAUUGAAAUAUUUAAAACACCAAAUACAUUUUAAAAAUUUGAUUUAAAUAAUAUUAAAAUUAAAACAUAACAAUCUCAAAAAAUAUUUUUAUAAAUCAGUCUUUUGUUGGAGAUAAGAAAAUACACUUUAGUUUUUAAUUCUAAAUAUUUAAUAUUGUAUUUGUUUUUUUCCAUACUGUAAUAUAUAAAAAAAUGUAUAAUCUAUUUAAGUUUUAGUAUUUUAUAGUGAAUUUCAAUUUGUUAGUUCUUUACAUAUUAAUUUUCUUUUUCAAAUUUUGUAGUAUCAUAUAUUACCUUUUUAAUAUUUGAAAGACUUGUAAUAUCAAAUAAAAUAAUAUUGCAAUUAAUGUAUAUAUUAACAUAUAAAAAUGAAUAGCAUAGAUAAAAAAAAAAUCAAGUAUGAUCGACAAUGAAAGUUUAAUCAUUGAAAAAGUUGCAUGAUGUCUUCUCGGGUACACCACUCUACUUCUAUAAGUGGUGCAUUGAUUUACUAGAUAAGUUUUUUUUAAGGAAUCCAUUAAAUGUAUUUUUCUCCAAUCCUGAUAUUAUUACAAAGUUGUUUUCACGUGGUGAUUAAUUUUCAAGAUGAUGAGCACAUACAAGAUAAUUUUCAGGAUCAAGAGCACAUACAAAAUAGCUUAUAAGAUUUUAAGUUACACUACAUACAAUUUGGUCAAAUUUUCUUAUAUUGUAAAAAGUUAUAGAUAAAAGUGAUGAUAAUUGUUGUCACCACUACUGAAGAAAGAAGAUUCUAAAUUGGUUAUUUGGAGCAUUCUACAUUGGUUGAGGAUCGUCGUAGUAGACCACAUCGUCAAAAGGGAAACCUAAUCUAGGACGGUCGCAAAGACUAUCUUAAAAAAUGUGUGUUUCUAAUUGCAGUCCCAAACUUUCCAAAAUUUAAUAUAGUGGUCAAAAUCAUGAUCAUUAACUAUUUUUUAAAACGUAGCUACAGAGAAUAAAGUUGUUGCUUAAACAUCUUCACGCCUAUAAAUAGACCCAAAUAAUGUGAGGUUCCAUACUUCAAAAUCCAAAUCUAGCGAUUAAUUAUAGUUUAGGCAGCAAAUUAUGGAUUCCCAUGAUGAGGAGCAUGCUGCCAAACUACUUAGAGCUCAAACCCACAUAUGGAAUCACAUAUUUAGCUUCAUAAACUCCAUGUCCCUUAAAUGUGUGGUUGACUUAGGCAUACCAGAUAUCAUACACAACUAUGGCCAACCCAUGCCACUCUCAAACCUCAUUGCUUCACUACCAAUCCACCCAUCCAAAACUUGCUUUGUCCAUCGCUUGAUGCGAAUCAUGAUCCAUUCUGGCUUCUUCUCUCAACAAAAUCAUGACAUGGAGAAUCAGCUAGAUGCCAAGUAUGUGCUUACCGAUGCAUCUGUACUAUUGCUUAAGAACCAUCCGAUGAGUGUGACACCUUUCUUGCAUGCCAUGCUUGAUCCAAUUUUGACAAAUCCAUGGAAUCAAUUUUCUACUUGGUUCAAAAAUGGUGACACUACACCAUUUGAAACGGCACAUGGGAUGAUGCUUUGGGAUUACGCUGGCGCUGAUCCAAAACAUAAUAACUUGUUCAAUGAUGCCAUGGCAAGUGAUGCUCGAUUUGUCACUAGUUUGGUGAUUGAGAAAUGUAAGGGAAUGUUCAUGGGAUUGGAGUCAUUGGUUGAUGUUGGGGGAGGCACAGGGACCAUGGCAAAAGCCAUUGCUAAAUCAUUCCCUCGGGUGGAAUGCAUUGUGUUUGAUCUACCACAUGUUGUUUCUGGCUUGAAAGGAAGUGAAAACCUUAAAUAUGUUGCAGGGGACAUGUUUGAGGCAAUUCCUCCAGCUGAUGCCAUUCUGUUAAAGGUAAAUCACUAUUCACAUUCAGAAUACAAUUUUACAUUCAUACCAUUAACACCCAGUUUUUAUACUUGAGUGAUGUCAAAUUUUAAAGAAUUAAAGCAAAUAAUUGAUCGAUUGGAAAAAAAAAAUGAACGAUUUUAUCAUCAUUGAUCACUUGAAAUAACUUCAAAUUUUUAUAUGUAUAUUGAUCACUAAGCUAGUAAGCUAGCACCAGCUAGUAGUCCAACUACAUAUCUGCCACUAUCAUACCAAAUCAGACCAACUGAGUGGUCUAUAUGGCUUGUAAUAAUUAGGACUAGUUUAUUAAGUGGUUACGUAAAGUAGCUAGCAUAUGAUUAUUUGACAAGUAAAUCUCUGCUCAUAUUCUAGAAAAAAUAGUUAUAGAUCUCUUCAAAUUUGACUUUUCUUUUUUCUGAAGUAUUGACUAUAUGUUGCGGUUAAAAACGUUACAUGAUGUGCCAAUUCAUUCUACCAAGCUUAAUAUGAAUGCAAGUCAAUAUUUAUUUCUUUUGUAUGAUUCUUAUCGGUGUGUUACUUUGAAUGACA
RNAcentral lists this long non-coding RNA (8033 nucleotides) under Glycine max (soybean). Its description in RNAcentral is "long non-coding RNA (GMAX_LNC003281)". Lineage: Eukaryota; Viridiplantae; Streptophyta; Magnoliopsida; Fabales; Fabaceae. The record is from RNAcentral.